Molecule: ribosomal RNA, 765 nt
Filed under: uncultured Streptococcus sp.
Lineage: Bacteria; Bacillati; Bacillota; Bacilli; Lactobacillales; Streptococcaceae
Description: bacterial SSU rRNA
Rfam family: Bacterial small subunit ribosomal RNA
Source: RNAcentral
GACGAACGCCGGCGGCGUGCCUAAUACAUGCAAGUAGAACGCUGAAGGAGGAGCUUGCUCUUCUGGCUGAGUUGCGAACGGGUGAGUAACGCGUAGGUAACCUGCCCUGGUAGCGGGGGAUAAACUAUUGGAAACGAUAGCUAAUACCGCAUAACAGUAGAUAUUGCAUGAUGUCUGCUUGAAAGGUGCAAAUGCAUCACUACCAGAUGGACCUGCGUUGUAUUAGCUAGUUGGUGAGGUAACGGCUCACCAAGGCGACGAUACAUAGCCGACCUGAGAGGGUGAUCGGCCACACUGGGACUGAGACACGGCCCAGACUCCUACGGGAGGCAGCAGUAGGGAAUCUUCGGCAAUGGACGGAAGUCUGACCGAGCAACGCCGCGUGAGUGAAGAAGGUUUUCGGAUCGUAAAGCUCUGUUGUAAGAGAAGAACGAGUGUGAGAGUGGAAAGUUCACACUGUGACGGUAUCUUACCAGAAAGGGACGGCUAACUACGUGCCAGCAGCCGCGGUAAUACGUAGGUCCCGAGCGUUGUCCGGAUUUAUUGGGCGUAAAGCGAGCGCAGGCGGUUAGAUAAGUCUGAAGUUAAAGGCUGUGGCUUAACCAUAGUACGCUUUGGAAACUGUUUAACUUGAGUGCAAGAGGGGAGAGUGGAAUUCCAUGUGUAGCGGUGAAAUGCGUAGAUAUAUGGAGGAACACCGGUGGCGAAAGCGGCUCUCUGGCUUGUAACUGACGCUGAGGCUCGAAAGCGUGGGGAGCAAACAGG